RNAcentral lists this ribosomal RNA (309 nucleotides) under uncultured eukaryote. RNAcentral's name for it is "partial 18S ribosomal RNA". It matches the Rfam family "Eukaryotic small subunit ribosomal RNA", at positions 1470 to 1796 of the family's 1831-position model. The record is from RNAcentral.
CCCUUAGAUGUUCUGGGCGGCCCGCGCACUACACUGGCACUCUCAAUCAGAGCCUGGAUCUAACACUUUGGGGUAUUCUAUGAAGUGGUGUCGUGACUGGGAUUAACCCUUGCAAUUAUUGGUUACGAACGAGGAAUUCCUUGUAAUCGCGGUUUAUCAGCCCGCGUUGAAUGCGUCCCUGCCCUUUGUACACACCGCCCGUCGCUCCUACCGAUGGAUCGUCCGGUUAAGCUCAUGGAGGGGCGGUUGUCUCAGCUGCCGUCGAAGUGAAAUGGACCUCACGAUCUAGAGGAAGGAGAAGUCGUAACA